RNAcentral lists this ribosomal RNA (253 nucleotides) under uncultured bacterium. RNAcentral describes it as "partial 16S ribosomal RNA". It matches the Rfam family "Bacterial small subunit ribosomal RNA", at positions 524 to 776 of the family's 1533-position model. The record is from RNAcentral.
GACGGAGGGGGCUAGCGUUGUUCGGAAUGACUGGGCGUAAAGGGCGCGUAGGCGGCCUUUUAAGUGAGGCGUGAAAGCCCUGGGCUUAACCCAGGAGGUGCGUUUCAUACUGAAAGGCUUGAGUACGAGAGAGGAAAGUGGAAUUCCUAGUGUAGAGGUGAAAUUCGUAGAUAUUAGGAAGAACACCAGUGGCGAAGGCGGCUUUCUGGCUCAUAACUGACGCUGAGGUGCGAAAGCGUGGGGAGCAAACAGG